AGAGUUUGAUCCUGGCUCAGGACGAACGCUGGCGGCACGCUUAACACAUGCAAGUCGAACGAGAGAAGAGGAGCUUGCUUUUCUGAUCUAGUGGCGGACGGGUGAGUAACACGUGAGCAAUCUGCCUUUCAGAGGGGGAUACCGAUUGGAAACGAUCGUUAAUACCGUAUAACAUAAUUGAACCGCAUGAUUUGAUUAUCAAAGAUUUAUCGCUGAAAGAUGAGCUCGCGUCUGAUUAGCUAGUUGGUAAGGUAACGGCUUACCAAGGCGACGAUCAGUAGCCGGACUGAGAGGUUGAUCGGCCACAUUGGGACUGAGACACGGCCCAGACUCCUACGGGAGGCAGCAGUGGGGAAUAUUGCACAAUGGAGGAAACUCUGAUGCAGCGAUGCCGCGUGAGGGAAGAAGGUUUUAGGAUUGUAAACCUCUGUCUUCAGGGACGAAAAAAGACGGUACCUGAGGAGGAAGCUCCGGCUAACUACGUGCCAGCAGCCGCGGUAAUACGUAGGGAGCGAGCGUUGUCCGGAAUUACUGGGUGUAAAGGGAGCGUAGGCGGGAUCGCAAGUCAGAUGUGAAAACUAUGGGCUUAACCCAUAAACUGCAUUUGAAACUGUGGUUCUUGAGUGAAGUAGAGGUAAGCGGAAUUCCUAGUGUAGCGGUGAAAUGCGUAGAUAUUAGGAGGAACAUCAGUGGCGAAGGCGGCUUACUGGGCUUUAACUGACGCUGAGGCUCGAAAGCGUGGGGAGCAAACAGGAUUAGAUACCCUGGUAGUCCACGCCGUAAACGAUGAUUACUAGGUGUGGGGGGACUGACCCCUUCCGUGCCGCAGCAAACGCAAUAAGUAAUCCACCUGGGGAGUACGACCGCAAGGUUGAAACUCAAAGGAAUUGAUGGGGGCCCGCACAAGCAGUGGAGUAUGUGGAUUAAUUCGAAGCAACGCGAAGAACCUUACCAGGUCUUGACAUCGUAUGCAUAGCUCAGAGAUGAGUGAAAUCUCUUCGGAGACAUAUAGACAGGUGGUGCAUGGUUGUCGUCAGCUCGUGUCGUGAGAUGUUGGGUUAAGUCCCGCAACGAGCGCAACCCUUACUGUUAGUUGCUACGCAAGAGCACUCUAGCAGGACUGCCGUUGACAAAACGGAGGAAGGUGGGGAUGACGUCAAAUCAUCAUGCCCCUUAUGACCUGGGCCUCACACGUACUACAAUGGCUGUCAACAGAGGGAAGCAAAGCCGCGAGGUGGAGCGAACCCCUAAAAGCAGUCUUAGUUCGGAUUGUAGGCUGCAACCCGCCUACAUGAAGUCGGAAUUGCUAGUAAUCGCAGAUCAGCAUGCUGCGGUGAAUACGUUCCCGGGCCUUGUACACACCGCCCGUCACGCCAUGGGAGUCGGUAACACCCGAAGCCUGUAGUCUAACCGCAAGGAGGACGCAGUCGAAGGUGGGAUUGAUGACUGGGGUGAAGUCGUAACAAGGUA
This 1470-nucleotide ribosomal RNA is filed under the name metagenome. RNAcentral's name for it is "bacterial SSU rRNA". It matches the Rfam family "Bacterial small subunit ribosomal RNA". The record is from RNAcentral.